GGCCUUUUCGUCCAGGGGUCUAAGACAACUCCUUUUCACGGAGCAGACACGGGUUCAAAUCCCGUAAAGGUCA
RNAcentral lists this transfer RNA (73 nucleotides) under Naegleria gruberi. RNAcentral's name for it is "tRNA-Glu". It matches the Rfam family "tRNA". From Rfam's summary of the family: Transfer RNA (tRNA) molecules are approximately 80 nucleotides in length. Their secondary structure includes four short double-helical elements and three loops (D, anti-codon, and T loops). Lineage: Eukaryota; Heterolobosea; Eutetramitea; Acrasida; Naegleriidae. The record is from RNAcentral.